AGUGAACGCUGGCGGCGUGCCUAAUACAUGCAAGUCGAACGGAGUGGCGCACGGGUGAGUAAUAUAUAGCUAAUCUGCCCCUUGCUGGAGGACUACAGUUAGAAAUGACUGCUAAUACCCCAUAGCAAGGGAUGAGACUAUAUCGUAUCAGCUAGUCGGUGGGGUAACGGCCUACCGAGGCUAUGACGCGUCACUGGUCUGAGAGGAUGAUCAGUCACAUUGGAACUGAGGCACGAUCCAAACUCCUACGGGAGGCAGCAGUAGGGAAUAUUGCGCAAUGGGGGAAUCCCUGACGCAGCAACGCCGCGUGAAGGAUGACCAUUUACGGAGCGUAAACUCCUUUUGUUAGGGAAGCGGUACCUAACGAAUAAGCACCGGCUAACUCCGUGCCAGCCGCCGCGGUAAUUC
RNAcentral lists this ribosomal RNA (408 nucleotides) under uncultured bacterium. Its description in RNAcentral is "partial 16S ribosomal RNA". It matches the Rfam family "Bacterial small subunit ribosomal RNA", at positions 29 to 526 of the family's 1533-position model. The record is from RNAcentral.